This 501-nucleotide ribosomal RNA is filed under the name soil bacterium S97D1. Its description in RNAcentral is "bacterial SSU rRNA". It matches the Rfam family "Bacterial small subunit ribosomal RNA", at positions 53 to 571 of the family's 1533-position model. The record is from RNAcentral.
ACAUGCAAGUCGAACGAUGAAGCCUUUCGGGGUGGAUUAGUGGCGAACGGGUGAGUAACACGUGGGCAAUCUGCCCUGCACUCUGGGACAAGCCCUGGAAACGGGGUCUAAUACCGGAUAAUACCUUCCCUCGCAUGGGGGUGGGUUCAAAGCUCCGGCGGUGCAGGAUGAGCCCGCGGCCUAUCAGCUUGUUGGUGAGGUAGUGGCUCACCAAGGCGACGACGGGUAGCCGGCCUGAGAGGGCGACCGGCCACACUGGGACUGAGACACGGCCCAGACUCCUACGGGAGGCAGCAGUGGGGAAUAUUGCACAAUGGGCGAAAGCCUGAUGCAGCGACGCCGCGUGAGGGAUGACGGCCUUCGGGUUGUAAACCUCUUUCAGCAGGGAAGAAGCGAAAGUGACGGUACCUGCAGAAGAAGCGCCGGCUAACUACGUGCCAGCAGCCGCGGUAAUACGUAGGGCGCAAGCGUUGUCCGGAAUUAUUGGGCGUAAAGAGCUCG